Long non-coding RNA from Mobula hypostoma (lesser devil ray), 508 nucleotides. RefSeq lists it as uncharacterized. The record is from RefSeq and is a predicted model, not a curated record. Lineage: Eukaryota; Metazoa; Chordata; Chondrichthyes; Myliobatiformes; Myliobatidae. The transcript has 3 exons.
GCUGUUUGAACUUUGUUUUGUUUUGUACUCCGUUCUGAUAGAGAAGAAAAUGUAUUCCAAGUAUUUGCCUAGACGCUGCCUGACCUGCUGAGCUCCUCCAGCAUGUUGUGAAUUGUGAUGGAAUCCUGCCGACUGGCACACUCCAGGCUGCAGGCAUUCGUGCUGAGGGCCACACUGAAACUUAGUGCAGACACCACAAGGACUCAGUGGGAAGAGCCACAGUAUAGGGUUCGUCCGCUGCUGGAGAGACUCAUAUCUUAUAGAGGGUGCUGGAAUUCCGGAAAUAUGUUCAUUGCUGAAGUCAGAAGUCAACGUGAUCUGCCCCAUUGAUUGCUCCUUCGUGAAAGAUAAAUAUUUGGGUACAGAACUCUCUUACGAAAGUAAGAAAGCAAUCACACCACAGCACCAUGAGCUCUCACUUUUACUAAAUCAAAGUGGAAAAGUUAGAAAUACUCAUUCUGAACACUUGGGAUCUACAUGCGCUCCAAGUAGAAUACUCCGGAAUAAA